UGUAGUGUGGGCAGGACCUGCACCCAGGGAACACCUCCCCAGUCCCCCCAGGCACGCACCCACCCACACACUUCCCCUUUGCUAGCAGAGCUCCGCACGUUCCACUCACGGGACAUAUCUGAGCGGGGUAUGAGAGGCACUGGGGCUGCUCACCUGUCUGGAGUUCGCCUCUUCCCGUUUUCGUUCACAUCGAGAAGCAGCUCUGAGGAGUCAACAGCAAAGCCAAACCAGAAUACUACAUACUCUGAGACGGCAACAUGGGCUGUUCAGAGAUCACAGCAGUUCAGAUUUACAAACAGCAUGUGCAGAUGCUACCUCCCAAGCACUCCUGGAGCUGCAAUAAUGCCGCCUUCCUUCAAGGCUCUCAGAAGGAAGAAACAGAUGAAGAGACAAGAAGGUAACAAAUUCCUUUACGACACCUCUUGCAGAACUAAAACCUGAAGCUCUUUAGUAAAGCUGGUUCCCCAGCCUCUAAGGGAGCUAUGGGGCUGGGAGCACCCACCUCCAGCAGCUCUACACCCACCUCUGUCCCACCACCCACAACCACAGAGAACCUCAGCAGCUCGAUUUUGAAGAGGAAGAUCUCUCAGGGGAUGGAGCUCAAAGCAGAACAAAAAGAAAAAAAAAAGCCUGAUGGUAUGAAAGCUAAAGGCAAAAUGGUAUUUAAAUCGUAUUCACGAGCCAAGUUUCCCCUAAAGACAUUUUUCACAUAAACUGUCUGUGGAUACUCUGCCAUCCGUACAUUCAGAGGUGAUGAGGGUUUGGGAGAGGAGCAAAGAAUCUCUCAAGAGCAAAAACUGUAUUUUUUGCAUGUGAAAUCCCGCCUGUGUAAGAUUUCAUGUACAUUUGCUCCAGUUUUAUAACAAAGUGGCAUAUACAUUGAACUUUGCCUGAAAUGUGGAAGAACUUGAAGGAAAACCAUGUCUUAAAAUGGCUUAAUUUCUUGAAUUCCAAAACGUUUUUAUGCUUUUGUGUAAAACCAAACUCCCUGUUUGCAAAGCUAGUUCUGAUUUUUUUUUUCCUGUUGGACUCUGACAUUUUGAGCAAUAAUCCUGAAUUAGCAGGGACACACCAGAAGGUUUCAUACAGGCGGGAUCCCGUAGCAUCCCACAGUUCAGAGCACAGGCUGUGUAUACAGAGAGAGCAACUUCUUUCUGCUGCAAAGAUUUCUUCCACCAAAUCCCUCUAACUGGUGACAGACUUGCACUCCUUAGCCCAGUAUGGAUCAAAUGGGGCUGAAACCAGAGGGAAAAGUAGACAUCUGCAAUUCAUUCUGCUGUGUUCGCCGAAAUCAAUUCAGGAUGGAGAUAGAUGGUGAAAUAAUGGUCUAGUCCUAAUCCAUACACACACACAAACCUCUGGUGCAGCGAGAGACUUAGAAUAAAUUCAGAAAAUAUGUUUCAAGUAUGCAGAGAUCUAUUGCAUUUGCUUUGGAUUAUAUUUUUUUUUAAAUAAUCUGAAAUAUACAUUCUUGAAUCUCUUUUACAGGACAGAGUGAAGAACUGUGAUUUUACCACAGAAGUAUUUUUCCCGUUUUAAAUUAAAGAAUGUUGUAAAACCAGCUUUAAAUUAUGAUAUUUCUUCUGUGGAUUUCUUGGUUCAUGAAACUAUACUGUUCUUGUAAUUCCUUCAGUUUUUAUGGCAGGAGUUAUUUUUAUCACUGUAUUUAGCUGUUAGGUGAAUACUGAUACUUACCGUGAGCACAGUCAGCUUCUGAAGACAAACAGAGAAGAGACAAAAGUAAAAUGUGCGGGAGCAGGGGCAAAAAGAGAUGUGCAUGUAUUCAAACUGAUUUACUUCGCUUCCUGUAACUUAAAUUAUUGAGUCCAUUUUUAAAACAAGGCGGUCUUUCAUACAUGGCAACAUUUCAGCUCACAUGGCACCCUUCCAAGUCUAACGCAUCAAGGAAAUCUGAUGUAUGGAACAAAAUAUGGAAUAUAUAAAUACUUUACUGAUACCAUUUCAAUAGCCAAUUCAAUGUCAAGCAUUUCUGGGGUUGGUGUGUUUUCAAUUUCCUUUUUUAAAUGAAAAAAAGUAUGGUAUAAUACGCUGUGGCAUUUAUUUUACUUUUAGUUACUGCAAACAGUUCCAGAUGUAUAUUCAGGCAUGAAAGACGCUUAAAAGACGCUCUAUAUUGUACAGUACUUACUACUUCUGUGCCAACACGUUAAAAACAAAAAUAAAAAUUGCCAACUUAAAAGA
Molecule: long non-coding RNA, 2202 nt
Organism: Columba livia (rock pigeon)
Lineage: Eukaryota; Metazoa; Chordata; Aves; Columbiformes; Columbidae
Exons: 4
Source: RefSeq, a predicted model, not a curated record